RNAcentral lists this ribosomal RNA (253 nucleotides) under uncultured bacterium. RNAcentral describes it as "partial 16S ribosomal RNA". It matches the Rfam family "Bacterial small subunit ribosomal RNA", at positions 524 to 776 of the family's 1533-position model. The record is from RNAcentral.
UACGUAGGGUGCAAGCGUUGUCCGGAAUUAUUGGGCGUAAAGGGCUCGUAGGCGGUUUGUCACGUCGGGAGUGAAAACUCGGGGCUUAACCCCGAGCCUGCUUCCGAUACGGGCAGACUAGAGGUAUGCAGGGGAGAACGGAAUUCCUGGUGUAGCGGUGAAAUGCGCAGAUAUCAGGAGGAACACCGGUGGCGAAGGCGAAUCUCUGGACAGUUACUGACACUGAGGCACGAAGGCCAGGGGAGCAAACGGG